RNAcentral lists this ribosomal RNA (459 nucleotides) under uncultured bacterium. RNAcentral describes it as "bacterial SSU rRNA". It matches the Rfam family "Bacterial small subunit ribosomal RNA", at positions 923 to 1379 of the family's 1533-position model. The record is from RNAcentral.
GCACAAGCGGUGGAGCAUGUGGUUUAAUUCGACGCAACGCGCAGAACCUUACCAGCCCUUGACAUCCCGGUCGCGGACUCCAGAGACGGAGUUCUUCAGUUCGGCUGGACCGGAGACAGGUGCUGCAUGGCUGUCGUCAGCUCGUGUCGUGAGAUGUUGGGUUAAGUCCCGCAACGAGCGCAACCCCCGUCCUUAGUUGCUACCAUUUAGUUGAGCACUCUAAGGAGACUGCCGGUGAUAAGCCGCGAGGAAGGUGGGGAUGACGUCAAGUCCUCAUGGCCCUUACGGGCUGGGCUACACACGUGCUACAAUGGCGGUGACAAUGGGAUGCUAAGGGGCGACCCUUCGCAAAUCUCAAAAAGCCGUCUCAGUUCGGAUUGGGCUCUGCAACUCGAGCCCAUGAAGUUGGAAUCGCUAGUAAUCGUGGAUCAGCACGCCACGGUGAAUACGUUCCCGGGC